Molecule: ribosomal RNA, 165 nt
Filed under: Triticum aestivum (bread wheat)
Lineage: Eukaryota; Viridiplantae; Streptophyta; Magnoliopsida; Poales; Poaceae
Description: partial small subunit ribosomal RNA
Source: RNAcentral
UCCGGCCCGCCGACGACGGCGCCGGUAUGCACGUUGGGAUUAGGGCCGCCGGCGUAGAGGUAGCCCUGGAAACCCUCCUGGCAGCCGAUGUGCGCCGGGUGCGCGGCCACGGACGGCAUGGAGGACGCCCUGUGGUGUAUCCUCUGCGGGGAGCGCGCGCCGUAG